Cyanistes caeruleus (blue tit) is the source of this 127-nucleotide non-coding RNA. The record is from RefSeq and is a predicted model, not a curated record. NCBI's taxonomy places the organism in Eukaryota, Metazoa, Chordata, Aves, Passeriformes, Paridae.
GAUUUAUCUUCUUGUCUUCUUUUGUAGGUUAUUACUCCAAAGAGAUUAUUGACAUCUAUUACCUCGAAAAGCAACCUUCUUACACCAGCCAUGGCCAGUCCAGGUGGCCCGAAUGCCAUACGCAGUA